ACGCGAAAGGGGCUUCGGCCCUGAGUAGAGUGGCGAACGGGUGAGUAACACGUGGGUGAUCUACCUUUGAGUGGGGGAUAACGUUCCGAAAGGAGCGCUAAUACCGCAUGACGUUCCGGGUUUGAAGACCUGGAAACCAAAGCCGGGGACCGCAAGGCCUGGCGCUUGGAGAGGAGCCCGCGUCCGAUUAGCUAGUUGGCGGGGUAAUGGCCCACCAAGGCGACGAUCGGUAGCCGGCCUGAGAGGGCGGACGGCCACACUGGAACUGAGACACGGUCCAGACUCCUACGGGAGGCAGCAGUGGGGAAUUGUUCACAAUGGGCGCAAGCCUGAUGACGCAACGCCGCGUGGGGGAUGAAGGUCUUCGGAUUGUAAACCCCUGUCGAACGGGACGAAAGACUCGCGAGCUAAUCAUCGCGGGAGUGACGGUACCGUUAAAGGAAGCCACGGCUAACUCUGUGCCAGCAGCCGCGGUAAUACAGAGGUGGCAAGCGUUGUUCGGAAUUACUGGGCGUAAAGGGCGAGUAGGUGGCCAUCUAAGUCAGACGUGAAAUCCCCCGGCUUAACCUGGGAACUGCGUCUGAUACUGGACGGCUUGAGUAUGGGAGAGGAACGUAAAAUUCCAGGUGUAGCGGUGAAAUGCGUAAAUAUCUGGAGGAAUACCGGUUGGCGAAGGCGGCGUUCUGGACCAUUACUGACACUGAAUCGCGAAAGCUAGGGGAGCAAACGGGAUUAGAUACCCCGGUAGUCCUAGCCUAAAC
This 761-nucleotide ribosomal RNA is filed under the name uncultured Pseudomonadota bacterium. Its description in RNAcentral is "bacterial SSU rRNA". It matches the Rfam family "Bacterial small subunit ribosomal RNA", at positions 66 to 807 of the family's 1533-position model. Lineage: Bacteria; Pseudomonadati; Pseudomonadota. The record is from RNAcentral.